GGUGAACGCUGGCGGUAGGCCUAGCACAUGCAAGUCGAACGGCAGCACAGUAAGAGCUUGCUCUUACGGGUGGCGAGUGGCAGACGGGUGAGGAAUACAUCGGAAUCUACUUUUUCGUGGGGGAUAACGUAGGGAAACUUACGCUAAUACCGCAUACGACCUACGGGUGAAAGCAGGGGAUCUUCGGACCUUGCGCGAUUGAAUGAGCCGAUGUCGGAUUAGCUAGUUGGCGGGGUAAAGGCCCACCAAGGCGACGAUCCGUAGCUGGUCUGAGAGGAUGAUCAGCCACACUGGAACUGAGACACGGUCCAGACUCCUACGGGAGGCAGCAGUGGGGAAUAUUGGACAAUGGGCGCAAGCCUGAUCCAGCCAUACCGCGUGGGUGAAGAAGGCCUUCGGGUUGUAAAGCCCUUUUGUUGGGAAAGAAAAGCAGCAGGUUAAUACCCCGCUGUUCUGACGGUACCCAAAGAAUAAGCACCGGCUAACUUCGUG
RNAcentral lists this ribosomal RNA (492 nucleotides) under uncultured bacterium. RNAcentral describes it as "partial 16S ribosomal RNA". It matches the Rfam family "Bacterial small subunit ribosomal RNA", at positions 28 to 507 of the family's 1533-position model. The record is from RNAcentral.